This 71-nucleotide transfer RNA is filed under the name Loxodonta africana (African savanna elephant). It matches the Rfam family "tRNA". Rfam says of the family: Transfer RNA (tRNA) molecules are approximately 80 nucleotides in length. Their secondary structure includes four short double-helical elements and three loops (D, anti-codon, and T loops). Further hydrogen bonds mediate the characteristic L-shaped molecular structure. tRNAs have two regions of fundamental functional importance: the anti-codon, which is responsible for specific mRNA codon recognition, and the 3' end, to which the tRNAs corresponding amino acid is attached (by aminoacyl-tRNA synthetases). tRNAs cope with the degeneracy of the genetic code in two manners: having more than one tRNA (with a specific anti-codon) for a particular amino acid; and 'wobble' base-pairing, i.e. permitting non-standard base-pairing at the 3rd anti-codon position. The record is from Rfam by way of RNAcentral. Lineage: Eukaryota; Metazoa; Chordata; Mammalia; Proboscidea; Elephantidae.
ACAGUGGUUGUUCAGCGGUAGAACUCCUGCCUUACAUGCAGGAGAUCCGGGUUCAAUUUCUGGCCAAUGUG